Long non-coding RNA from Ipomoea nil (Japanese morning glory), 1877 nucleotides. RefSeq lists it as uncharacterized. NCBI's taxonomy places the organism in Eukaryota, Viridiplantae, Streptophyta, Magnoliopsida, Solanales, Convolvulaceae. The transcript has 4 exons. The record is from RefSeq and is a predicted model, not a curated record.
ACCAGUUGGCGGUACAUUCCGAGCAGCUCUGUGGAGGCGUCGUUCUCGCGAGGUGGGAGGUGCGAUACGCGAAUGGCUCGGUCUGGUGGCAACCGCCGUUCGAGGAGGGGUAGGUCCCGGCCUUUGUUCUCUCCGUCGGCUUCGUGCACAGGGUCGCGGAGGCGUCCCGAGCGUUCAGACGCCGGCCCGGGCGUCAGUCUCCGGCGGCGACCGGUCGCGUUAGUUUCGAACGGGCUGUCCCGGGGAUUGCGUCUAGAGUGUUUGCACGGACACGGGUCGCGCACCGGUGGGGCAUGCAAGCUUUCCUUAAAAUAGUUUCAUUUUAAAAUAGCACUGCGCGGGUGGACGCCGGCGUGGUUAAAAGCACGGGAGAGACGGGAAGUGCAUGGUGGGGGGUUCGGGAAUUUUCAGUUGGAUGCACCGCUCCGUGUAUUGACAUCGCGGGACCAGCGAGAUGACCAAGGGCUACGGCCGGCUCACCGUGGACUCGUUCGUGGUCCCAUUACUGGGAAUGCACAGCCGCCUACUAGUCCACGGGGAGAACCGCAUGACACCCGGGAUGACCCAAGGCUACGCCCGGUUCACCACGGACCCGGUCCUAGUGCCGUUAUGGUAUGACAACUUAACUAGUGCACUCUUCCUAAGACCCCCUAAUACAGUUUUCAUUUUAUUUUAUAAAAAAAAAUGCAGACUAUAGAAUAUGUUAAGUUUGUUUUAGUAAGGACCACAGUUAAACCCCAUUUUGAAAUUGUCGAGAAGGUUGUGCACCCCCGACAUUCUGGAUUGCACUUGAGCCGUUCUGGAAUGCACAUCAUACCCCAUUGUUGCACGCGAAUGCAGUCCAAGAAAACAAUACACACUCUACUACAUCCCAAAACCAAAGUCUACUUAUUUUUAUUUUAUGCCCACUCAGAAACUUGUAUGAGGGAAUAUAAGUUAAACUCAGGGAAUAUUAGAUUUGAUUAUUUUAGUUAGGGUGAGGUUCAAGUGAGGCUAUUGUGUUAGGUGAGGAUUGUGGACAAAUUUCAACCAUCAGAUCAGGCCAUCUAACACCUGUAAGUGCACAAUGGGAGAAAUUAAACGGUCUCUAAAUAAGGCAAUAACAUUAUUAGUAAUUAAGGUUGGGGGUAAAAGUGUAAUUGAGAAAUUAAAUGGACAUUAACGUGAAAGGAAAGGAGCAAAAAAAUACGGCUUUUGAUUUAGGGUUAAAACACCGAAUGUGAAGGAGAGGUGUCGGCAUUGCAUAAUCAACUCAAGCAAACCUCUUGCACAACCAAACAAAGCCGUGAAGAACAAUCGUGAAGGAGGCUUGCACACCAUCGGAAUCUAUGGUGGACUCAACACCUCAGAGAAAUCAAAGGCAUGCAUCCGUUGAAGCGACAACUAGAAUCCAAAGACAUGAUAGGUACUUUUCUAGAUGAUAAGAAAGACCAUGACUGGGGAGCGAAAGUACUAAUGCUGGAUCCAAAAAGAAUGCAAAUGCGGUGGAGGGAUACGGCGAAAAAUCUGGAUAGUGGGGGUGUAUGCGAUGAGGCACAUGGAGACCUUCAUAGGAGAGCGUGAUACGAGUUGGGAGUGUGGGCUCAACAAAGGAGACAGAUCAAUAGUAGAAGCCUUGAGAAUGAAGUAAAUGAGUGACAUACUACUUAGUGAGUGUAAUGAGCAUCAUGCAAAAAACCUCACAAGCUCACCCCUAUUCGAGCAGCCUGGCAUAUUCACGCGAUAGAUGUAGCCUACUUAGUUAGUGUAACAGCUGAAAAGGAUUGCUUUGAUGACGUUGUCGAGAUUCAAGUGCCUUCAGUAGUUUAAAACUUUUUGCAUUAUUGUUAAUGUCUGUAAGUGGCACAAACUACGUACAGUACCAUGCUCCUAAUUAA